Molecule: long non-coding RNA, 408 nt
Organism: Daphnia carinata
Lineage: Eukaryota; Metazoa; Arthropoda; Branchiopoda; Diplostraca; Daphniidae
Exons: 3
Source: RefSeq, a predicted model, not a curated record
GUUAAUUAUUUUUGUAACGGGCAAUCUUGUAAGCUAUGCAAGAUGCCAGUUCCAAACAGUCACAGAUUGCUCUGUCAAAAAACUAUGACCUUAGCAUUCCAUCGUGCUACUCUAUUUAGAGAUCUAGCUUGCGAAACUUACAACGGAAAGAAUGCUAACCAGGAAGAACGUCACCAGUGAUGUGCAUUCUUAGAAUCAGCACACCACUGUCUAACUCGACUACCCCUUUGCCUAGUCAUCUGAAUCAGCUUUAAUCUGCUAAAUGGAUUGUGCACCCCUUUGUUUGGUUUCCAACGCUUAACCAUUACCAACCAACACAAGUAGACAAUGGCAUCGAAACAAUCCCUUUUGGUCUGCUAAACCUUCACCAUCUUCAGCAAAAUUACCAGCCCUACAGCUUCUGCAGUC